This 478-nucleotide ribosomal RNA is filed under the name uncultured bacterium. RNAcentral describes it as "partial 16S ribosomal RNA". It matches the Rfam family "Bacterial small subunit ribosomal RNA", at positions 28 to 523 of the family's 1533-position model. The record is from RNAcentral.
GACGAACGCUGGCGGCGUGCUUAACACAUGCAAGUCGAACGGUAAGGCCCUUCGGGGUACACGAGUGGCGAACGGGUGAGUAACACGUGGGUGAUCUGCCCUGCACUUCGGGAUAAGCCUGGGAAACUGGGUCUAAUACCGGAUAGGACCCUGGGAUGCAUGUCCUGGGGUGGAAAGCUUUUGCGGUGUGGGAUGGGCCCGCGGCCUAUCAGCUUGUUGGUGGGGUGAUGGCCUACCAAGGCGACGACGGGUAGCCGGCCUGAGGGGGUGACCGGCCACACUGGGACUGAGAUACGGCCCAGACGCCUACGGGAGGCAGCAGGGGGGAAUAUUGCACAAUGGGCGCAAGCCUGAUGCAGCGACGCCGCGUGAGGGAUGACGGCCUUCGGGUUGUAAACCUCUUUCAGCACCGACGAAGCGCAAGUGACGGUAGGUGCAGAAGAAGGACCGGCCAACUACGUGCCAGCAGCCGCCGUAA